Molecule: ribosomal RNA, 403 nt
Filed under: uncultured bacterium
Lineage: Bacteria
Description: partial 16S ribosomal RNA
Rfam family: Bacterial small subunit ribosomal RNA
Source: RNAcentral
GACGAACGCUGGCGGCGUGCCUAAUACAUGCAAGUCGAACGCAGUGGGGACGGGUGAGUAACACGUGGGUAACCUCCCAUCAGAGGGGAUAACACUUGGCAACAGGUGCUAAACCGAUACUGAUUGAUGGACCCGCGGUGCAUUAGCUAGUUGGUGGGGUAACGGCUAACAAAGGCCACGAUGCAUAUCCGACCUGAGAGGGUGAUCGGCCACACUGGGACGGAGACAGGGCCCAAACUCCUACGGUAGGCAGCAGUAGGGAAUCUUGGGCAAUGGACGAAAGUCUGACCGAGCAACGCCGCGUGAGUGAAGAAGGUUUUCGGGUCGUAAAACUCUGUUGUUAGAGAAGCGGUAUCUAACCAGAAAGCCACGGCUAACUACGUGCCAGCCGCCGCGGUAAUUC